UCACCCCUCAAGCCCCGUGCUUGGUGUUGGACGGCCGGUCGAGCGAUCGACCCCUCCGAAAGACAAUGACGGCGGCCUGUGGCUCCCCCGGUACACUGAGCUUCUCACCGAGCACGUAUCGGACAAGGGCGCCCGGGACCCGGUCCUCUCCUUUCACCAGGAAACUUCUAA
This 171-nucleotide unclassified non-coding RNA is filed under the name uncultured Cladophialophora. RNAcentral's name for it is "sequence contains ITS2". Lineage: Eukaryota; Fungi; Ascomycota; Eurotiomycetes; Chaetothyriales; Herpotrichiellaceae. The record is from RNAcentral.